CCCAACACAGCGUCCCCAAUCACUAGUACUCUAGUGUGGCAGCGCUUAACUGGCGCCCGAGCAGGGACCCACAUUCUUCACGGAAAUAAAGGGAAAUGGUGACGUGUCAAUAAUUCUAUAAAAAUAACUUAUUAACAAAGCAAGUACAAAUAAAUUGUUCCAAUCGAAUUGGGCAAUUGUUGGCAAAAUUACGAAGUACUUCUGCGAUUUGCAAAGUAAUGAGCAAGUGUUGGUGCACUAGAUAAUUCUAUAACAUAAAAGAAAUCAUGGCUAAAUGGUGGUAUUGGCAAUACCUAGGUUCAAAUCCGUGCCGAGACGAGUCUUAAAACGAAAAUACAAGAAAUUUGCAGGCGGUGGUGGUAUGAGAUUGAUUCUCGUAUCGAGGUUCAAGUCCUUGCCGUAAGACAAAUGUCAUAAAAAAUAAACGUCACAAUUUCCACCUGUGUUGAAUGAUGGGUUUCCGUAUAAAUUAAAAGAAACCUAGUGGUCAAAGUUAAGCUUAAAGCACUAACUAUAUAACAAAAUUAAAAGGCGGUUGUCUGGAAAUCUCUAAUCAACAAGCAAAGCAUAAAUAUGCAAAAAUAAAAACAUGAAUUGCAGAGACCUUCUAUUCGAUCGUGGAAUAACCCUUACCCUAGUAGGUCUUAGAACCAGAGAGGAAUACUUUGGGCUUCCCUUUCGGAAGAGAAUAAGUCUGGCAACAAUAUAUAACAGAAAAAAGUAAAAUAAAUAAAUAAAUGAAACGAAAGGAAGAGAGAGACCAGAUGAUUGUGGAACCACCCUCACCUAAGUAGGUCUUACACCAAAAAGGAUCCUGAGGGCUUCCCAAGCCAUGUAAAAUAAUAAAAACUGUUUGCCGGUUCGGUAACAAAAGAUAAUACAACUAGUAAUUGGUAAUUCAGUAAUUCUAUAACAGACAACGCAAUAACACACGUGGUAAUACACACACGUAAUUCAAUACAAUUAGUAAUUCAAUGAAAUAAUAUAAAAGAAAUAAUAUUCCCGUCAAUUAUUUAAAAAAGGUGUUACGACCAUGUGAGAGCAUUACUAAUAUAUUUAUCUCCACAGGAAGCAAUUCUACGAGACGAUUAUUAAUAUUUUCUUAUAUCCACUGGAAACGGUAAAUAGCAGCAGCUUGGAAACAAUGAAAAGCUGAUUUAAUGUAGAAAAUUAUAUCGAUAACAUAGUAGGCAUCGAAUUGAAUAGUAAGUAAGUUUUCAGACAUUGAAAUAAUUUAGUUCACUUUUGCACCAAGCCGUAACUAAACGAAAAAUUUUGAAAAAUUUACAAAUAAAAAGAAUACAAAAAAAAAAAACAAG
Molecule: long non-coding RNA, 1319 nt
Organism: Drosophila mojavensis
Lineage: Eukaryota; Metazoa; Arthropoda; Insecta; Diptera; Drosophilidae
Exons: 2
Source: RefSeq, a predicted model, not a curated record